AACGAACGCUGGCGGCAGGCCUAAAACAUGCAAGUCGAACGGGUGUAGCAAUACAUCAGUAGCGCACGGGUGAGUAACGCGUGGGAACGUGCCCUUCACUACGGGACAACGUCGGGAAACUGACGCUAAUACCGUAUAAUGACUCCGGUCCAAAGAUUUAUCGGUGAAGGAGCGGCCCGCGUCUGAUUAGCUAGUUGGUGAGGUAAUGGCUCACCAAGGCUACGAUCAGUAGCAGGUCUGAGAGGAUGAUCUGCCACACUGGGACUGAGACACGGCCCAGACUCCUACGGGAGGCAGCAGUUAGGAAUAUUGGACAAUGGGCGAAAGCCUGAUCCAGCCAUGCCGCGUGGGUGAUGAAGGCCCUAGGGUUGUAAAGCACUUUCGUUGGGGAAGAUAAUGACUGUACCCAAAGAAGAAGCACCGGCUAACUUCGUGCCAGCAGCCGC
This 446-nucleotide ribosomal RNA is filed under the name uncultured bacterium. RNAcentral's name for it is "bacterial SSU rRNA". It matches the Rfam family "Bacterial small subunit ribosomal RNA", at positions 29 to 518 of the family's 1533-position model. The record is from RNAcentral.